UGGGGAAUAUUGCACAAUGGGCGCAAGCCUGAUGCAGCCAUGCCGCGUGUAUGAAGAAGGCCUUCGGGUUGUAAAGUACUUUCAGCGGGGAGGAAGGGAGUAAAGUUAAUACCUUUGCUCAUUGACGUUACCCGCAGAAGAAGCACCGGCUAACUCCGUGCCAGCAGCCGCGGUAAUACGGAGGGUGCAAGCGUUAAUCGGAAUUACUGGGCGUAAAGCGCACGCAGGCGGUUUGUUAAGUCAGAUGUGAAAUCCCCGGGCUCAACCUGGGAACGGCAUCUGAUACUGGCAAGCUAGAGUCUCGUAGAGGGGGGUAGAAUUCCAGGUGUAGCGGUGAAAUGCGUAGAGAUCAGGAGGAAUACCGGUGGCGAAGGCGGCCCCCUCGACGACGACUGACGCUCAGGUGCGAAAGCGUGGGGAGCAAACAGG
Molecule: ribosomal RNA, 429 nt
Filed under: Chloroflexota bacterium
Lineage: Bacteria; Bacillati; Chloroflexota
Description: Chloroflexi bacterium partial 16S ribosomal RNA
Rfam family: Bacterial small subunit ribosomal RNA
Source: RNAcentral